AUAAACAUUCAGAUUUCGGUUCGA
RNAcentral lists this non-coding RNA (24 nucleotides) under Arabidopsis thaliana (thale cress). Lineage: Eukaryota; Viridiplantae; Streptophyta; Magnoliopsida; Brassicales; Brassicaceae. The record is from RNAcentral.